This is a long non-coding RNA of Olea europaea var. sylvestris, 2396 nucleotides long. RefSeq lists it as uncharacterized. NCBI's taxonomy places the organism in Eukaryota, Viridiplantae, Streptophyta, Magnoliopsida, Lamiales, Oleaceae. The transcript has 3 exons. The record is from RefSeq and is a predicted model, not a curated record.
UAAUCAAUUUUGUUCUACUAUAUUUUGACAUGGGAUUUAUCUAUAUAUUCAUAUUGCGAUGAAAUGUUGAAUACUUUAGAUUUGUUAAGAUCACUAACUACAAUUUAUGUUGAUGUUGCAGAGUUUUGUUCUAGCUCUAGGAAGUCUACAUUCAAUGAGAAAUAUAUUUUGUAUGAUGGAAUAGGUUCAGGUAAUUGUGUUUUGUUAUAAUACAUGAGAUAUAUGCUAAGUUUUGAAAAUAAUUGCUUUUAUGCAUUGUUUUCAUUUGUAUUCUCAAAGUCAAGUAAGCAAACUUCCAAGAGUUCUAAAAAAAGAAGAGUUGCAAUUGCUAAUGCAAUUCGAGAUACUAGUAAGAGACUAAGAAAUUCUAGUGAACCAGAAAAUACUAUAGCCAGUCCAACUAAUGAUGAGCAAACCACGUUGCCAACAACUGCAAAUGCUCCGAAGAAGAAAAAAAGUCCAACACAAGUGAAGAUGAUUCCUGAGCUUAGGGAUGACAAUGGGUUGAGCUGAGCCAGCUUGACCCUUUAAUUCAUGAGAUCGGCUUGGGCUCGUGGCUCAUGAAAAACAAGCUGAGCCGAGCCCACGAGCCACUUUCGAGCUCGUGAUUUUUUUAAUUUUUUUUAUAAAUUUGUACAUUUUUUAUGAGGCUCGUGGGCUCGUAAGCUUUGGCUCGGGGCUUGGUAAGUCGAACAGGCUCGGCUUAUAAGAUUGAGCCCCCUGCUAGACUCGAGAAAUGAGAGCCCGAGCCUCCACGAGCCUAGCGGUUAAGUCAACAAGCCGCUCGGCUCGUUUGACAUCCCUACCUAAACAUAAUUAUCAGAAGAUGGAUCUUGAAUACAAUGAAUAUGGCCAAGUUGUUGGCAAGAACUUAGAUAAAUUUGCUAGCAUAGUUGGGGCCAUAGUACAAGAACAUGUGCAUGUUGUAAUUAAAGAUUGGCAUCCGGUGAAUGGAAAGAAAAAAAUGGAGCUUUGGACUUUCAUAUAGGUAAUAUUUCUUAACUACCUUUUAAAAUUAUUAAGUUGCAUAUUUUUCUUUCUUAAUGAUACGAUUCCCUUUAUAUCUUAAAUUUAUGUUUGUACACAAAUGUAGCAAAGGUUCAGUGUCAGUUAUUGUCAUCAAAGAAUGUCACUUCAAUGUAUGGGACAGUAUUGGAGGACAUGCAAUUCAAGAUUGAGAAAAGAAAUUAGAAAUCAAGUUGUAAAAGUGGGAAUAGAGCACGCACUAUUGCCCUUCUUAGACUAAAGAAUGUCAACUUUGAAGAAGUCUGGGUAAAAUUUGUCAAGGAUACUCUUUCUGCUGAUUUUCAUGUAAGUAUAUUUGCAUAUGAUGCUUAAAUUUCUAUAAUUAUUGUUGUUUAAUAUUUUUUUUCAUAGGAAAAAAGUUUCAAGUUCAGCAACAUGAGAACUAAUCAAAAGCUACUCGAUACUAUGGGUUGAAAGGGUUAUCCACGUAUGGCUUAUGAAAUGCUACAUCUUAGAAACAUAUCUUUUCUUACAUGAAUUUUCCAGCUCCAAUUUAUAUAAUCACUAAAUUUGUACUGCUAAGAAAAAAUAAUCCAGAUUUAAAAGGGUUAAGAACAAGAGUAUGGACUCAUGGACAUUUUGGGAAAGAUGGAAAACCAAUAAAUGAAGCAGUUGUCAAGACUUUGGUAUGUGUUUUAUAUCAAUGUUCAAUGAAGCAUAGUUUGAUUUAUUGGUUGUAUCGCUCGCUAUUAUGAAAUUUGAGUUCGAUAAGUGCAAAGAAGGAUUGAAGAUUGUGCCGUUCAAUUUCUAAUACACCCGUCGAAGAUUCUAUUCGCGAUGAUGCUGUCGCUCGAGUUGUAGGUCCUAAAGGUCAUGGAAGAGUUAGGGGACUCGGAUUUGGAUUUGGACCAUCAAAGGUGGAUGGACAAAUACGAAGUAGUGGGAGAGUUAGAGAAUUUGAAAGCCAAUUACAAAUUCAGGCACAAAGAGUUGGGACACUAUAAGAAAAAGUGGAAGCACUUCUCAAAUUAUCUCAUCACAUCAAGAAAUGGUGCCCAAGGAAGUACUACACCUAUGACAAAUGCAAGAUGUCAACUAUUGUAUUAAUACACGUUUUAGGAGGAAGAAGUCGUACCAGAAUGGAAGAUUGCAACAACAGACCCAAGUGAAACUGUGCAUUAUUUGCCACUUGGUCGAGACUGUUGGAAGGUUUGGGCUGAGGAAGUGUAUAUGGGGAGAUCAGUGCGGUGCAAGAAGGAUUGGUGCAAUUGAAGAUGACAAUAUCAAAAGCAAUAGAGAAGUGGGCACAACAGCCAUUUUAAUGUGUUGUGUAUAGUAUUGAAUAUUUAAUGCUCCUUUUGGAAAUCUCUUUGGUGGUAUAUGUUUUGUCGUCUCAUAAUUAUUUUUGUGGUACAUGUUUUGUGGUCUAC